AUACGGAGGAUGCGAGCGUUAUCCGGAUUUAUUGGGUUUAAAGGGUGCGUAGGCUGUGCUGCAAGUCAGUGGUGAAAGACCUGCGCUCAACGCAGGAAGUGCCAUUGAUACUGCAGUGCUGGAGUACCCCUGCCGUGGGAGGAAUGAGUGGUGUAGCGGUGAAAUGCAUAGAUAUCACUCAGAACACCGAUUGCGAAGGCAUCUCACGAAAGGGCAACUGACGCUGAGGCACGAAAGCGUGGGGAUCAAACAGGCUUAGAUACCCUGGUAGUCCACGCAGUAAACGAUGAUAACUAACCGCUGGUGCGCAAGUAUCAGUGGCCAAGCGAAAGCGAUAAGUUAUCCACCUGGGGAGUACGACCGCAAGGUUGAAACUCAAAGGAAUUGACGGGG
This 393-nucleotide ribosomal RNA is filed under the name uncultured bacterium. RNAcentral's name for it is "partial 16S ribosomal RNA". It matches the Rfam family "Bacterial small subunit ribosomal RNA", at positions 523 to 918 of the family's 1533-position model. The record is from RNAcentral.